Molecule: ribosomal RNA, 423 nt
Filed under: uncultured bacterium
Lineage: Bacteria
Description: bacterial SSU rRNA
Rfam family: Bacterial small subunit ribosomal RNA
Source: RNAcentral
AAGACCUUGCGCUUUUGGAGCGGCCGAUGCCUGAUUAGCUUGUUGGUAAGGUAAAAGCUUACCAAGGCUUCGAUCAGUAGCUGGUCUGAGAGGACGGCCAGCCACACUGGGACUGAGACACGGCCCAGACUCCUACGGGAGGCAGCAGUGGGGAAUUUUGGACAAUGGGGGCAACCCUGAUCCAGCCAUGCCGCGUGAGUGAAGAAGGCCUUCGGGUUGUAAAGCUCUUUCAGUCGGGAAGAAAAGGUUACGGUUAAUAACUGUAAUUCAUGACGGUACCGACAGAAGAAGCACCGGCUAACUACGUGCCAGCAGCCGCGGUAAUACGUAGGGUGCGAGCGUUAAUCGGAAUUACUGGGCGUAAAGGGUGCGCAGGCGGUCUUGUAAGUCAGAUGUGAAAGCCCCGGGCUCAACCUGGGAACU